GCCAAUACAUGCAAGUCGAGCGGACAGAAGGGGAGCUUGCUCCCGGAUGUUAGCGGCGGCACGGCCUGAGUAACACGUGGGUAACCUGCCUGUAAGACUGGGAUAACUCCGGGAAACCGGAGCUAAUACCGGAUAGUUCCUUGAACCGCAUGGUUCAAGGAUGAAAGACGGUUUCGGCUGUCACUUACAGAUGGACCCGCGGCGCAUUAGCUAGUUGGUGGGGUAAUGGCUCACCAAGGCGACGAUGCGUAGCCGACCUGAGAGGGUGAUCGGCCACACUGGGACUGAGACACGGCCCAGACUCCUACGGGAGGCAGCAGUAGGGAAUCUUCCGCAAUGGACGAAAGUCUGACGGAGCAACGCCGCGUGAGUGAUGAAGGUUUUCGGAUCGUAAAGCUCUGUUGUUAGGGAAGAACAAGUGCGAGAGUAACUGCUCGCACCUUGACGGUACCUAACCAGAAAGCCACGGCUAACUACGUGCCAGCAGCCGCGGUAAUACGUAGGUGGCAAGCGUUGUCCGGAAUUAUUGGGCGUAAAGGGCUCGCAGGCGGUUUCUUAAGUCUGAUGUGAAAGCCCCCGGCUCAACCGGGGAGGGUCAUUGGAAACUGGGAAACUUGAGUGCAGAAGAGGAGAGUGGAAUUCCACGUGUAGCGGUGAAAUGCGUAGAGAUGUGGAGGAACACCAGUGGCGAAGGCGACUCUCUGGUCUGUAACUGACGCUGAGGAGCG
This 728-nucleotide ribosomal RNA is filed under the name Bacillus pumilus. Its description in RNAcentral is "bacterial SSU rRNA". It matches the Rfam family "Bacterial small subunit ribosomal RNA", at positions 46 to 755 of the family's 1533-position model. The record is from RNAcentral. Lineage: Bacteria; Bacillati; Bacillota; Bacilli; Caryophanales; Bacillaceae.